GACGAACGCUUGCGGCGUGCUUAACACAUGCAAGUCGAACGGAAAGGCCCUGCUUUUGUGGGGUGCUCGAGUGGCGAACGGGUGAGUAACACGUGAGUAACCUGCCCUUGACUUUGGGAUAACUUCAGGAAACUGGGGCUAAUACCGGAUAGGAGCUCCUGCUGCAUGGUGGGGGUUGGAAAGUUUCGGCGGUUGGGGAUGGACUCGCGGCUUAUCAGCUUGUUGGUGGGGUAGUGGCUUACCAAGGCUUUGACGGGUAGCCGGCCUGAGAGGGUGACCGGCCACAUUGGGACUGAGAUACGGCCCAGACUCCUACGGGAGGCAGCAGUGGGGAAUAUUGCACAAUGGGCGGAAGCCUGAUGCAGCAACGCCGCGUGCGGGAUGACGGCCUUCGGGUUGUAAACCGCUUUCGCCUGUGACGAAGCGUGAGUGACGGUAAUGGGUAAAGAAGCACCGGCUAACUACGUGCCAGCAGCCGCGGUGAUACGUAGGGUGCGAGCGUUGUCCGGAUUUAUUGGGCGUAAAGGGCUCGUAGGUGGUUGAUCGCGUCGGAAGUGUAAUCUUGGGGCUUAACCCUGAGCGUGCUUUCGAUACGGGUUGACUUGAGGAAGGUAGGGGAGAAUGGAAUUCCUGGUGGAGCGGUGGAAUGCGCAGAUAUCAGGAGGAACACCAGUGGCGAAGGCGGUUCUCUGGGCCUUUCCUGACGCUGAGGAGCGAAAGCGUGGGGAGCGAACAGGCUUAGAUACCCUGGUAGUCCACGCUGUAAACGGUGGGUACUAGGUGUGGGGUCCGUUCCACGGGUUCCGUGCCGUAGCUAACGCUUUAAGUACCCCGCCUGGGGAGUACGGCCGCAAGGCUAAAACUCAAAGGAAUUGACGGGGCCCCGCACAAGCGGCGGAGCAUGCGGAUUAAUUCGAUGCAACGCGUAGAACCUUACCUGGGUUUGACAUGGAUCGGGAGUGCUCAGAGAUGGGUGUGCCUCUUUUGGGGUCGGUUCACAGGUGGUGCAUGCCUGUCGUCAGCUCGUGUCGUGAGAUGUUGGGUUAAGUCCCGCAACGAGCGCAACCCUUGUUCACUGUUGCCAGCACGUUAUGGUGGGGACUCAGUGGAGACCGCCGGGGUCAACUCGGAGGAAGGUGGGGAUGACGUCAAGUCAUCAUGCCCCUUAUGUCCAGGGCUUCACGCAUGCUACAAUGGCUGGUACAGAGAGUGGCGAGCCUGUGAGGGUGAGCGAAUCUCGGAAAGCCGGUCUCAGUUCGGAUUGGGGUCUGCAACUCGACCUCAUGAAGUCGGAGUCGCUAGUAAUCGCAGAUCAGCAACGCUGCGGUGAAUACGUUCCCGGG
Molecule: ribosomal RNA, 1343 nt
Filed under: uncultured bacterium
Lineage: Bacteria
Description: 16S ribosomal RNA
Rfam family: Bacterial small subunit ribosomal RNA
Source: RNAcentral